AUACGUAGGGUGCGAGCGUUAAUCGGAAUUACUGGGCGUAAAGCGUGCGCAGGCGGUUUUUGUAAGACAGGUGUGAAAUCCCCGGGCUUAACCUGGGAACUGCGCUUGUGACUGCAAGACUUGAGUGCGGCAGAGGGGGGUGGAAUUCCACGUGUAGCAGUGAAAUGCGUAGAGAUGUGGAGGAACACCGAUGGCGAAGGCAGCCCCCUGGGUCGACACUGACGCUCAUGCACGAAAGCGUGGGGAGC
Molecule: ribosomal RNA, 248 nt
Filed under: uncultured bacterium
Lineage: Bacteria
Description: partial 16S ribosomal RNA
Rfam family: Bacterial small subunit ribosomal RNA
Source: RNAcentral